UGGGGAAUUUUGCACAAUGGAGGAAACUCUGAUGCAGCGACGCCGCGUGAGUGAUGAAGAUCUUCGGAUUGUAAAACUCUGUCCUUAGUGAAGAUAAUGACAGUAACUAAGAAGCAAGCCCUGGCUAAAUACGUGCCAGCAGCCGCGGUAAUACGUAUGGGGCAAGCGUUGUCCGGAAUUAUUGGGCGUAAAGGGUACGUAGGCGGUUUAAUAAGUCCUAAUUAAAAGGCUAAGGCUUAACCAUAGUAUGGUUAGGAAACUGUUGAACUUGAGUAGGUGAGGGGAAAGUGGAAUUCCAGGUGUAGCGGUGAAAUGCGUAGAUAUAUGGAGGAACACCAGUGGCGAAGGCAACUUUCUGGAAUCAAACUGACGCUGAGGUACGAAGGCGUGGGGAGCAAACAGG
Molecule: ribosomal RNA, 403 nt
Filed under: Fusobacteriota bacterium
Lineage: Bacteria; Fusobacteriati; Fusobacteriota
Description: Fusobacteria bacterium partial 16S ribosomal RNA
Rfam family: Bacterial small subunit ribosomal RNA
Source: RNAcentral